UCGGUUUUCACAGGCUCACCGACUAGAACCACCCGAUUGUUUUUCCGGGAUCACAAUCGAACCCUUACAUGUUGGUUUUACCCUCGGCUCACCAACCAACCUUAACACCCUUGAUUCAAUCCCCUGAUUGAAUCAAGUAAGAAAAGCAGUUUGAGAAGAGUACAAGGAUAGCUUCUUGAAAAGCAAAUAUAAACAAUAUGAAUAAAGAAGAGUUAGAAGCCCUCAAACAGAUUUUUG
This 237-nucleotide long non-coding RNA is filed under the name Phoenix dactylifera (date palm). Its description in RNAcentral is "long non-coding RNA (PDAC_LNC018162)". The record is from RNAcentral. Lineage: Eukaryota; Viridiplantae; Streptophyta; Magnoliopsida; Arecales; Arecaceae.